Molecule: ribosomal RNA, 933 nt
Filed under: uncultured archaeon
Lineage: Archaea
Description: bacterial SSU rRNA
Rfam family: Archaeal small subunit ribosomal RNA
Source: RNAcentral
CUAGCCAUGCGAGUCAUAUGUUCUUCGUGAACAUGGCGUACUGCUCAGUAACACGUGGAUAACCUGCCCUUGGGUCCGGCAUAACCCCGGGAAACUGGGGAUAAUUCCGGAUAACGCAUAUAUGCUGGAAUGCUUUCUGCGUAAAAUGGAUUCGUCUGCCCAAGGAUGGGUCUGCGGCCUAUCAGGUAGUAGUGGGUGUAAUGUACCUACUAGCCGACGACGGGUACGGGUUGUGAGAGCAAGAGCCCGGAGAUGGAUUCUGAGACAUGAAUCCAGGCCCUGCGGGGCGCAGCAGGCGCGAAAACUUUACAAUGCGGGAAACCGUGAUAAGGGGACACCGAGUGCCAGCAUCAUAUGCUGGCUGUCCGGGUGUGUAAAAUACACCCGUUAGCAAGGGCCGGGCAAGACCGGUGCCAGCCGCCGCGGUAACACCGGCGGCCCGAGUGGUGAUCGUGAUUAUUGGGUCUAAAGGGUCCGUAGCCGGUUUGGUCAGUCCUCCGGGAAAUCUGAUAGCUCAACUAUUAGGCUUUCGGGGGAUACUGCCAGGCUUGGAACCGGGAGAGGUAAGAGGUACUACAGGGGUAGGAGUGAAAUCUUGUAAUCCCUGUGGGACCACCUGUGGCGAAGGCGUCUUACCAGAACGGGUUCGACGGCGAGGGACGAAAGCUGGGGGCACGAACCGGAUUAGAUACCCGGGUAGUCCCAGCCGUAAACGAUGCUCGCUAGGUGUCAGGCAUGGCGCGACCGUGUCUGGUGCCGCAGGGAAGCCGUGAAGCGAGCCACCUGGGAAGUACGGCCGCAAGGCUGAAACUUAAAGGAAUUGGCGGGGGAGCACAACAACGGGUGGAGCCUGCGGUUUAAUUGGACUCAACGCCGGACAACUCACCGGGGGCGACAGCAAUAUGUAGGCCAAGCUGAAGACUUUGCCUGAAU